CCUACGGGUGGCUGCAGUGGGGAAUAUUGGACAAUGGGGGCAACCCUGAUCCAGCCAUGCCGCGUGCGUGAAGAAGGCCCUCGGGUUGUAAAGCACUUUCAGUGAGGAAGAACGCCUGGUGGUUAAUACCCAUCAGGAAAGACAUCACUCACAGAAGAAGCACCGGCUAACUCCGUGCCAGCAGCCGCGGUAAUACGGAGGGUGCGAGCGUUAAUCGGAAUUACUGGGCGUAAAGCGCGCGUAGGUGGCUUGAUAAGCCGGUUGUGAAAGCCCCGGGCUCAACCUGGGAACGGCAUCCGGAACUGUCAAGCUAGAGUGCAGGAGAGGAAGGUAGAAUUCCCGGUGUAGCGGUGAAAUGCGUAGAGAUCGGGAGGAAUACCAGUGGCGAAGGCGGCCUUCUGGACUGACACUGACACUGAGGUGCGAAAGCGUGGGUAGCAAACAGGAUUAGAUACCCCUGUAGUC
Molecule: ribosomal RNA, 465 nt
Filed under: Vreelandella stevensii
Lineage: Bacteria; Pseudomonadati; Pseudomonadota; Gammaproteobacteria; Oceanospirillales; Halomonadaceae
Description: partial 16S ribosomal RNA
Rfam family: Bacterial small subunit ribosomal RNA
Source: RNAcentral